This is a long non-coding RNA of Ictalurus furcatus (blue catfish), 3884 nucleotides long. RefSeq lists it as uncharacterized. NCBI's taxonomy places the organism in Eukaryota, Metazoa, Chordata, Actinopteri, Siluriformes, Ictaluridae. The transcript is spliced from 2 exons. The record is from RefSeq and is a predicted model, not a curated record.
GUCUCGGCAAAAGUCGUCGUUAUGGAAACGAUAUGAAUGAUCCAGUAAGUAAGUACACCCCCACGAUGACAUUAUGCAGUUAUGAUAUUACGUUGUUGUUCAUAAAAAUUAUCUGAAAAAUAAUACAAAUCUAAAUCAUCUAAUCAGACCUAAUAAUCUUUGCCAUUUCAUUCGCUAUCCUUAACGUGACUCGUCCCCCCGCCCUUGUGAUGGCGUGAAUCAGCGUGGGAAAUAAAUACAAUUUUAAAAAAAGAGUUCCGUUAAUAAUGAUUCCCACCAGAAAAGAAAAAAAUCCAAAUGGAUCAUAGGCAAACACGUAAAGUGUGGGAAAGGCACAUCAGUCUCCUUUACUUCCUAUUGCUCACAGCUGCAUGGGAAAUAUAUGUUUGUGUAUACACGUACGUGUGUGUGUGUGCGCGUGUGUGUGUGUGUGUGUGUGUGUGUGUGCGCGCGUAUGAGCACGCCAACCUUCUCCAUGCAGGUGCUGCUAUGAGAUCACUUCCCUACUCGCCGGGCUUGCUUCCAUACCAGCCGCCGUUUCCUGUUCCAAAACAGGAAGCAGGAAGAGCAUCCCUAUCCAGCAGGGGGUCGAAGGUUAAAGGUCAGGAGCAGGAUUUGCGUGUCUGUGUAUCCUUUUGUUUUUUUUUAUCUACAGAUUAACCAAAUCUUCAUGGACAGAUCUCGGUCCGGAGCAGAAAUGCCAGAACGAGAGCCUUUACCAUCUCUUUAUUAAUUAUUAUUAUUAUUAUUAUUAUUAUUUUGCUCGCUAAUGUCUAAAGGAUCUGGAAGAUUUGACUUCAUUUACAGUCGUUCACUUGGCAGACGCUUUUAUUCAAAGUGACUUACAGGAUAAGAGAAUUUGACGGUUGUGGUCUCGCUCGAGGGUGUAACGGUCGCUCUUUGAGAACUAGCCCGACGGUGAAGCAGUAAACACUCGGGAAUGUCAAUAAACAGAACUGUGGGUUGGUUUUUUUUUUGGUUUUUUUUUUGCUAGCAUGAUGAAUCGUUUACAUUAAAACACCCACGCUACGAGCAUUUCACUGCAUUACCACUGCGACUCAAGGCCCUUUCUUACACACAGUCGAAUCUGAAUCGGAGCAAAAACGGAUCCUUUUUGAUUCGUUCGCUACUCGGCUCGGUUUAGCUUUCACACACGCGAAAUGAAACGAACCAAAAACACAAAUCCGUUCAGUUACUGCUCAGAAAUGAGUUUCUUGUUUCUCUCGAGAACACACACACACACACACACACACACACACACUACAGCUUAAGGCGUUUGGUUCAGUUUUGCACCGCGCAUAUAAAGAGCAAAACCACAAACACACACUACAGUUUUGAUUCACUUCCUGAAAUCGAGUCGACUCGGACGCUGAUCUCUUUAACGCUACGGAGUUAACUCGGAAGCGAACCGAGAAUCGUUCGGCUCGGACCCUCUCGUCAUGGAGCACGCCCGAGCGUGAUCGCGGCGUUCUCGGCUGCCUGAAGAACCGCACCGAAGUGGAGAACGCACAGGGGUUCGGUUCGAACGGACCAAUCGCUAUCUAGUAUUGAUAUCGUACAGUGUUAAUCACGAACCCGCUUUUUUCCCCCCCGGGUGACUAAAACGUGUCGAGUGUGUGCCGUGUAUAAGGGCUGUACGAGUCAUCCAGUGUAAAAGAAAUCUCCUGUAUGUAAACCCCUGCUCAUGCACGCACUCAUACUUCCUCUUUAAUACCAACUGUUUCCUGUCAUCUGUCAACAUGUACCAAGACGACCUUCGGCCUUCAUCGCUCAGCACUUGUGUCAGCGUGUAGCGGGCCUAGACAUGUUUCUCACUAUGUCAGUGUGUGUGUGUGUGUGUGUGUCACUUCUCAUGUGAUCCUAAAGGAAAAUGUGUCAACCGUCGGACGACGUCAUGUUUCCCGCUCACUCGUACGUGUUCGGGUGUGUGUGUGUGUGUGUGUGUGUGUGUGUGUGUUCAUUCAUGUCGUUAUGUACCAUUACUCCACACCGCUUGUCUAAACAAGCGCGAGGAAGAUUUCUGCGUCCGAUCGCUUUGAAAGAUUACCUUAUGAAUGAAGAAGGAGCAAGUGGGUGACGCUUGUGAUUUCAGGGGCAUCUGCGACGUGUCAUUUCCUGCUAGAGGAAGCGACGCGGUUUGCUCACAGCACAGUAACCGAAAGAGUCGUGUUGGUGAGAAACACCCUCGAGAAGUUCCAGUGUCUCCAUUUUGCACAAUUUGGGGUCAAUAAAGAAGUUUCCUCGGUUUACACACAGAGCAAUUUAGAACGGCGCUAAAAGGUUUGGGGUUUUUUUUUUUUUUUCGUGUCGUGCCACUAUAGUAAAAUAAUCAGCGACAGGACGGUGUGGGGAAGCAGAGCACUGUACCCAGCCCUAUGUUUAGGAUUAUUUUCCUAAAGCAGCACAUCCUGAAGACUUUUUCUUUCUUUUUUAUAUUCUUUUCGCAAUUUCCCGAAAGCUACUCAUACUUUUUAUCCGUUUAUAGUUGCGUGCGGCGUCCUCAAAGCAAUUUACACGGUACAGCACUCGUACGCAGUUAUUCCCACCACGGAGAACCCGUUACAAAGCGCUGACACUGGAGACUCCUUCCAUAAAACAUGUCCUUACAGAAAACUUCCCCUUAUAAACAAACAAUUACACGCUUUUAUUUAUUUAUUUAUUUUUAAAGUUCUUACUAUAGAAACAAGAACAUGUACGAAAGUAUUGGCUAUGAAAUAAACAAUUAACGUGAAGAAUGCGACAUUCAAUACGUUUAACAAAAAAUGCGACUCCCAACCCUUUGGGAUUCCCAUCAGAGCAAAUGGCAUCAGAGUACCGGCUGUUCAGCGGUCAGAAAAGGUCUAGAGAUGUCCGUGGGCGUGGCGUUUGAACUGUGAAACCGUCGGAUGCGCUUCAAGUGUUUGUUGAAAAACUGAAACGGACCAGUGAGCUUCGCCAUAGCAACAAGUCAACAAACAUACCUACCGGAUAAACAGAGGACUGGCACGACCUCAGAGGGUCUAGUCGCAACAUACGACCGCUGGUACACGUCAACGAAGGCCAAGGUCUCUGCUCGCGUAGCAUUAACGAAGAAUACCUUCACUUUUGAAGGAAGACUGUUGAACAGAUAAAAGAGAGGAACCACUAUGACCUCAGUGGGUUUAACCACAACAUACAAACCACUUGCAAACCUCAAGAAUGCAAAAGGUCCUUGCUAAGAAUGGACACUGGAUCAGAUCAGAUCGACCUGGAUUCCACGCGAUGGAGUCGAGGAAAUGCGGCGAAAACGACUGCUCACGUGACUUUCCACUGACUGAAACACGGUGGUGGUAGCUCCAUCGCAUGUUUAUGUAUUGCUGCUAGUGGAAACAGACCACUUAUUUUUAAUCGAUGUCACAGCAGGUGCGACUACCGGGGUGAAGUCCGGACCGAAAUACCAGCGAAUUCUAAAUCAGUUCUUACCUGGAAGAGUCCUCAGCUCAUCUUGCUUAGUGACACGAGUGCACAAAGUGAAUACACGACCUCCACUUCAAAUCAGUCAUCGAGAGCUCUUGCUCACACACACACACACACACACACACACACACACACACUAUCCACAUCCUUUACAACUCACCACUUGUUAUCUGUUAUCAGUGGCUCAUUCACACGCUCAGGAAUGAUUGAUCUCUGUUGACCUUUGACCUGGGUACUGCUCAGGCUCACGCCUCACAUUCCAGAAGACCCAGAAGAUAAGACAGGGAUUCCAGGCAUGUGUGCGUGUGUGUGUUGCAUAGUUCAUGGUUGUGACAAAUGUACUUGUGAUGCUGUUCCUUCUUUUUUCGCCUCAGGGUUGCUUAAAACUGGUAAAGGAGCAAUCAAUAUUAAAACUCAUAAAUAACAAAUAAACCGGUUCACAAUUUCUA